This 337-nucleotide unclassified non-coding RNA is filed under the name soil metagenome. RNAcentral's name for it is "partial contains 5.8S ribosomal RNA, internal transcribed spacer 2, and large subunit ribosomal RNA". The stretch from base 1 to 120 matches the Rfam family "5.8S ribosomal RNA", at positions 35 to 154 of the family's 154-position model. The record is from RNAcentral.
GAUGAAGAACGUAGCGAAAUGCGAUAAGUAAUGUGAAUUGCAGAAUUCAGUGUAUCAUCGAAUCUUUGAACGCACAUUGCGCCCCUUGGUAUUCCAUGGGGCAUGCCUGUUCGAGCGUCAUUUGUACCUUCAAGCUCUGCUUGGUGUUGGGUGUUUGUCUCGCCUCUGCGUGUAGACUCGCCUCAAAACAAUUGGCAGCCGGCGUAUUGAUUUCGGAGCGCAGUACAUCUCGCGCUUUGCACUCAUAACGACGACGUCCAAAAGUACAUUUUUACACUCUUGACCUCGGAUCAGGUAGGGAUACCCGCUGAACUUAAGCAUAUCAAUAAGCGGAGGA